This 381-nucleotide ribosomal RNA is filed under the name uncultured eukaryote. Its description in RNAcentral is "partial 18S ribosomal RNA". It matches the Rfam family "Eukaryotic small subunit ribosomal RNA", at positions 592 to 976 of the family's 1831-position model. The record is from RNAcentral.
CAAUAGCGUAUAUUAAAGUUGUUGCGGUAAAAAAGCUCGUAGUUGGAUUUCUACCGAAGAUAGCCGGUCGGGUCUUCGACCUUGUAUCUGGUUUUGUCUUUGGUAUCCUCAUAGGGAACGUUUCUGCGCUUUAUUGCGUGGUGCGGUAUCUAUGACUUUUACUUUGAGGAAAUUAGAGUGUUCACGGCAGGCAAACGCCUUGAAUAUAUUAGCAUGGAAUAAUAACAUAGGAUCUUCGUCCUAUUUUGUUGGUUUCUAGGGCCAAGAUAAUGAUUAAUAGGGAUAAUUGGGGGCAUCUGUAUCAACGCGUCAGAGGUGGAAUUCUUGGAUUGCGUUGCGACAAACUACUGCGAAAGCAUUUGCCAAGGAUGUUUUCAUUGA